Molecule: transfer RNA, 59 nt
Filed under: Biscutella laevigata
Lineage: Eukaryota; Viridiplantae; Streptophyta; Magnoliopsida; Brassicales; Brassicaceae
Also listed under: 1 other name
Description: partial transfer RNA-Gln
Rfam family: tRNA
About the family: Transfer RNA (tRNA) molecules are approximately 80 nucleotides in length. Their secondary structure includes four short double-helical elements and three loops (D, anti-codon, and T loops).
Source: RNAcentral
AGUGGUAAGGCAACGGGUUUUGGUCCCGCUAUUCGGAGGUUCGAAUCCUUCCGUCCCAG